This 2702-nucleotide long non-coding RNA is filed under the name Mytilus galloprovincialis (Mediterranean mussel). Lineage: Eukaryota; Metazoa; Mollusca; Bivalvia; Mytilida; Mytilidae. The record is from RNAcentral.
AUUCGUUUCAUCUUUCAGAAUAAUCUCAAUUUCAUUUCAUCAUUUAUUCAAACUUAUACAGUACAAUUGUUGCUAUUAUAUACAACCUGUACUUUACAAUUGUUGCUAUAAUAUGAAAGUUGUACAGUGCAAUUAUUGCUAUUAUAUAAAACUUAUACAGUACAAUUGUUGCUAUUAUAUACAACCUGUACUGUACAAUUGUUGCUAUAAUAUGAAAGUUGUACAGUACAAUUAUUGCUAUUAUAUAAAAAAUGUACUGUACAAUUGUUGCUAUGAUAUGAAACUUGUACAGUACAAUUGUUGCUAUGAUACAAAACUUGUACUCACAAUUGUUGCUAUUAUAUUAAACUUGUAAUUUACAUUUGUUGCUAUUAUACAAAACUUGUACAGUACAAUUGUUGCUAUAAAAUAAUGACACUUUUAUAUUCCACUGCCUGUCUUAUACCCAUGGUGCCUGGUACUAUUUUUUUAUAAAUUGUAUAAUUUUUGCUACUUUUACAUAUACAUUUCAUUUCUGUUGACGUUUUUUAUGCAAUCUAAUAACUUAAAUAUCCAAAAUUUGAUGUCAAAUAAAACAUAUCCAAUCAUAUGUAUUUCCCAUUGUAAGAAACUUACCCAAAACAGAACUGUAUAAAAUAUGCCAGAUUUUUAGUAACAGGCAUCCACACAUAUAUAUUUUUCAAUCAAUAAAUAUCCUAUCAAUUCUAAAUCGAAGAUUUUUUUUGGUAAAGAUUUGAUUUACUGAUAGAUAUAAUAUUUCAACAAUUUUUUUGUAAAUUGCUGUAUAUAGUUACUAACUACGCACAUAAAUAUUAACGUCUUAAGAUAUAUCAAUAAAAUUGUAACAAUUUAUAUACAUUUUAGGAUUUAGUGCAAUAAGGUUAAAGAUUCUGCUUAAAGCAUUAUUAUACCUGCAUCAACGGCAUCAGGUUAAAUAUAGUGUUCACUUACUGUGAAUUCAUUAAUGUUCAUUGGAUAAUAAUUUUCGUGGAUUUUGUGGGUAGAGGGGAACCGCAAAUUUAAAUGCUCAACGAAAUUACAAAUGUUUUUAAGCAAUAAAUGCAGACUUUGUCAAAUCCAUGAAAUAGAAAAUCGGCGAACCACGAAAAAUUGGUAUCCACAAAAAUGAAUGAAUCCACAGUAUAUCUGUUAAAGUCACCCUCCAUUAGUUUGUAUAUGUGUCCUUUAUGACUGUGUCAUUUAUUUAAUCUUAAAUUCCCAUCUAAAACUACUUUAAAAAUUGGUACAAUUGUAAUAGAAACAAACUGUGCUCUAAUAUAAAUUCAUCUGCCUAUAUAUUAUUUUUUAAUCAGCCAAAGGUGUGUCACUUUGUACAUUCUGGAUGCAGUUUAAAAUCAAAUUUAGAAAGGAAUUAAAUAAUCAAACUUAAGAAUCACAAUAAUAUUAGAAAAAUACAGAAUUGUUUCUGUAAAGUUAUAUCAACAAGUUUCUUACUGAAAAUUGCUGAAAGAAUUUCAGCCAAACACUCAGCAAUUCUUCUCUUCGUAUUAAAAAUAUGCAUCACCUACUGUAAGAGAUGUCAUAUUUUUGAUUUUUGCAAAAAUCAAAACUUGCAUUUUAAAUAUUUUUACGCAUUAUUAUGCUUUUUACAGGAGUUGGUAUAAGUAUGCAGCAUUUCUCCAAAAUUUUGUAUCCAGUUUUUGGCCAUUAUUUGCAUUUAGUAUUCAUAUUACUCCAUGGGAUAGGAGUAGACAUGCAUUUCAGAUGAAACUUGUAGAAUAACAUUGGCCAUUUAUCAAGAAUUUUAUUAUGGAAAUUAUUUAUUUAUACCAAUGGAAAGAAUAUCUGUUUGAUAAGAUUGCAGUUGCAUUAUGCAUUCCUUCAAAUUACAAAUAUAUAUACAUAUACCCAAUUUUCAGUUGGUAUAUUUUGACUGUUGAAUGAGUUACUAGCGAAACUACUGGUUGGAAUUGUAAUUACAAGGUCCACGUUAUAGUUAUUUGACUUUAGAGUUACCAACUUAAAAUACCUCUAUUAAUUUUUAAAUCAAAAGCGGUCACUUUUUAUAAAUGGUCCAGCAAAGAUAAGAAUUUUUCUAAUCAGCUGGCAUUAGAAUAGAUGUUUACCAAGACUUUUUUGCAAAAUAUGUUUAUUUUGAUUUUGUGUCAAACUUAUCUUUAAGAUACUUUCUAGCGUGCAUACAAAUGUUUAUGUUUAAUAUUAUAUAGUAAACAGUGUUUUACAUCUAAGCUAUAAUUAAUUUAUGUCUUAUUUUAUGAUUUGACGAAGGCUUUGAAGACCUGUUGGUGACCUUCUGCUGUUGUUUUUUUUCUAUGGUCGGGUUGUUGUCUCUUUGGCACAUUCCCCAUUUCCAUUCUCAAUUUUAUUUGAUGUUUUGUUGAGGUAUUUAUAAAUAUGAUAAAAUGAAGAAAAGAUAACAUGUCUGUCAGAUAUUUUCUAAAUUAUAUGUUUCAUGCAUUUGCAAGCUUUGUCAUGGAAAGCUGAAAAAGAAUAAAAUUUCGUACCAACAUUUAAUAAAUAAUAUAUCCAAGCAAGUACCCUUUGCUCUGCUUCCUUUUUCUAAAAGUAUAAUAUAUAUGUUACAAAAAUCAACUAAUUAUUACUAUUCAAAUGCUUCCAGUUUAUCUCAUUAAUAUUUGCAAAUACAUGUAAUGAAUGCACUCACGUUUAAUUAUGUGGCUAUCUUGGAGAAAGGAAAGAAAUAAAACUAUUAAAAAUAU